Molecule: non-coding RNA, 318 nt
Organism: Vicia faba (fava bean)
Lineage: Eukaryota; Viridiplantae; Streptophyta; Magnoliopsida; Fabales; Fabaceae
Source: the annotation of a GenBank genome assembly
CAUUACAAAAAUCCAUAUGUUCAUUUAUACUUCCAACCAUUACAAAUACUUAUUACGUUCCAAAGAAACUACAAUAGUUUUGUAAGUUACACAAAAAAAAAACACAUUCAGGCUAUUGUUUCUUGUCCUAAGCUUCAUCAUGACUUCAAUACUUCAAGCCUUGAUUCACUCCACAAAACCCUAUGGUUUCAUCUUGUAACUUCUCCUUUAAGUCCUCAAGACUUUACCAAUGCCAAACCAGCAAAACCAUUCAGAACCAAUUUAUUAAUUCAUCGGUGCAACGUUCAUGUCAUCACCAACAUAAUUCAAAAUGCAUAG